CAGAAACAAACGGGGGUUUAGAUUGUACUCUCAGUCUUUUUGGUAUUAUCGUUUUACUUGAGAAAGUAGACACUGACACAAGCGUACAAAUAUGACCAAAGGGAAACAACAAUACUAGAACACAUGUUUAUCUAACAUGUAGCAGAGAGAAGAAUCAUGAAUAUAGGACAGAAGAUAGAUUUUCCUCAUCACAAACACACACAUAUUUAUAUAGCACAUACAUUUAUCUUACAAGAACUUGAGCUAAUACAUGGACUACAAAACUGAAUAUAUUUCUGCAGAAAAGGAAACACACUGUGACAACACAUACAUGAACUGGAAUUACGUAAAUUCAGUGCAAAUGACAAACAUACAUGUACCACACAGGUGACAAAUAUAACAUUCGCGAACUUAUUUUAUAUAGGUGCAUCAACUAGUCGGAUCCUAGAACACAUACACUAUAUUAUACAAGUACUAAAUCCUGCGAAUUAAAGAGAGAGAAAGAGAUAGAAACUGCAGCAGCGAGUUGGGGAUUCAGAGAAGGACAGCAGGGUCGUUUUCUUUAGAAAGGAACAACAGCAAGGAAGGGGAACAACAGCAGCAUGGAGGCUUGGAGAAGAAGCAGCAGCAAAUGGAGAAGAUUCAGAGUAGCGAGGGAAAGAAGAAGGGCAGCAGCGAGGCAGGGGAAGAAGAGAAGCAACAGGGGCGAAGCAAGAGGGAGGAGCAGCAGCAGGAGACAUGGGCAAGGAGCAGCAGAGAGGUGUGGGAAGAAGAAGAAGCAGCAGCAAGCAGAGAGCAGAGGAAGGAAGAGGCAGGGAGGUGCGUGUGGUGGAUGGAGUGCUCGCGCGGGGCACCAGACACACCCGCUGCUUUGUCUCGCAGGGCGCGCGAGGUGGUGGUGGUGAUGGCGGCAGGAGGUGAUGGUGGCGCUGGGUGUUGGUGAUGGUGAUGGAUGGCGCUGGUGGGUGAUGGUGUGAUGGUGGUGCUAGUGGAUAGAUGGGCUGCGGAGGCGCACCACCACGCCGGCCUGGCCGUGGCGGCGGCCGGAGGUGGAGUAGGAGGGGUGAGGGAGAGAUGUGUAGCCAGGCCCGAUCCAAAAUUGAGGCGUGCUAGGGAUUUUGAUCCCCUCCCUGAUCUGCC
RNAcentral lists this ribosomal RNA (1119 nucleotides) under Triticum aestivum (bread wheat). Its description in RNAcentral is "partial small subunit ribosomal RNA". The record is from RNAcentral. Lineage: Eukaryota; Viridiplantae; Streptophyta; Magnoliopsida; Poales; Poaceae.